Molecule: ribosomal RNA, 1360 nt
Filed under: Wasmannia auropunctata (little fire ant)
Lineage: Eukaryota; Metazoa; Arthropoda; Insecta; Hymenoptera; Formicidae
Description: large subunit ribosomal RNA
Source: RNAcentral
UAAAUAAUGAUAUUAUAGGGGGUUAGUAAUUAGGAGGGAUAAAUAAAGUUAUAUAAAUAUUGAUAUGUUUGAGUAGGAUAAGUGAGUAAAUUAUGAUAGUGAUAUAGAAGAGUAAUGUAAGUGAAAAGAGAAAGAUGGAGAUAAGGAGGUUUAUUUUAGUGUACCUUUUGUAUCAGGGGUUAUUAAAAUAAAAGUUUACUAGUAAAUUUUCUUGAAUUAGAAAGAGUGAAUUAAGUAUGAGAGUUAGUGUUGAAAAAUUAUUUUGAAUAUUUAAUUAGUGAAUAAAUUUUAGUCAAUUUUUAAGAUAUCUAGUUUUUUUAAUCAUAAAAUUUAAUUUAGUUAGGUUUUUAUAUAGUUUAAUUAAGGAGAGAAUUAAUAUAAUAGCUUAGAAUUUAUAGGUUGCGGGAUAAAUUGUGAUCUAGGUUUAAAAGUAGGGCUUACAUUAGAAAUAUAAAUGUUUAUAGAAUUUGAAUUUUUUAAGGAUAAUUUAAUAAUUUAUAAUUGGAAGAGGGGUAUGAAUUUAGGAAAAUGUAUAUUAAUGAAUUAAGAAAAAAUUAAUUGUAAUAUUUUUGGAUGAAGUUAUAAUGAUAAUAUUAGUAUAAAUUAGAAUAGGUUAUUUAAAAGUAAGGUGUAUAUUAGUUUUAAGAAUUCGGCAAAUUAAAGUUCAACUGUUUAAUAAAAACAUAGUUUUUUGAUUAUAAUUUAAAAUAUGUCUGCUCUAUGAGUGGGAACUUAAAUGGCUGCAGUAUCUUGACUGUACAAAGGUAGCAUAAUCAAUUGUUUUUUAAUUGAAAACUUGGAUGAAAGAAAGAAUGAAAUUUUAACUGUUUUAGAUUAAUAAAUAAAAUUUAAUUAUUGAGUAAAAAGGCUUAGAUAAUUUUAAGGGACGAGAAGACCCUAUAGAAUUUUAUAAAAAUUUAAAUAAAAAUUAAGUAAGAAGUGAAUUUAGAUUUUUAUUUGGUUGGGAGGAUAAUUAAAUUUUGUAAACUUUAAUUUUAAAAAGACAUGGAUGAAUGGUUAGUUGGGAAAGAAUGGUUGAUAAAUUUAGAAAGAAUUAAUUACCUUAGGGAUAACAGCGUGAUAUUUUUAGAGAGAUCUUAUUGAUAAAAGUGAUUGCGACCUCGAUGUUGAAUUAAGAUAAAAUCUAGGCGUAGAGGCUUAGGGAUUUAAGUCUGUUCGACUUUUAAUAUCUUACAUGAUUUGAGUUUAGAUCGGUGUAAGCCAGAUCGGAUUCUAUCUUUAAAAAAGAUACAUAUAUUUGUACGAAAGGACUUUAUAUGUAAAUAAUAUUUUAAAUUGAUAAAUAUAUCAUUAAGAAUUACUUUGGCAGAUUAAGUGCAUUAAAUUUAGAAUUUAAAAU